AAAAAAAAAAAAAAAAAAAAGAUAACGUGAGGCACAUGUGCGCCUCACUUAAAGAAAAGAAAGAAACAGAAGAAGAGGCAGUGCCUCAUUCACUCUGUGGCCGGAAGAACAGAAGGGAGAAAGGGAGGGAGAGUUUUAAGUUUUUUCUAACGAAAAUUGCGAUCUACGAAGAUCCAACGGUCGGAUCUUCAAUCCGUUUUCGACAACGUGAUCCUUGCACUCGGAUCUACGUUCGUACCGAUUGUUUAAGGUGUUUGAGCUUAUUGGAGCUUAUUUGAGGCUAGCCAAACUUUGGGUGGGAGUUUGGUGAAUUUGGUGGCACUUUGGGGGAGUGAGCUUAGGACUUGUUAGUGUCGGUGUGCAAGCAGUCAAGAUGUAGUUUCUGUGACUGCAGGUACACCUGACUUUGAGGAAGACCCUGUAGCUGCGUAUUUGGGGUACUACGAUUGAAGCACUCCGCGACAGUCGUACUGAGUUGGACUAUGGAGUUCACUCUUUUGGGGUAUUUUGUAUAUGCCUAGUGACGUAGGUGUCACAUAUUCUUUUGUGUAGCCAUUCUUUUGUAUCAGUGGGUAAAUGUAAACCUUAAACUGUUAGACAGAUAUAGCUCUUUUGUAUGGACCACUAGUUAAUUUUAGAUGUGCUUUCCGUUAUGGUUGUUGUGUUACAAUUAUUCCGCUUCUAGAUAAUACUCUGAAUAUCAAGUACAUGGUAUGGAGCGUGUACGUAUGUUG
Alnus glutinosa is the source of this 734-nucleotide long non-coding RNA. RefSeq lists it as uncharacterized. The record is from RefSeq and is a predicted model, not a curated record. The transcript is spliced from 4 exons. Lineage: Eukaryota; Viridiplantae; Streptophyta; Magnoliopsida; Fagales; Betulaceae.